Molecule: long non-coding RNA, 406 nt
Filed under: Mytilus galloprovincialis (Mediterranean mussel)
Lineage: Eukaryota; Metazoa; Mollusca; Bivalvia; Mytilida; Mytilidae
Source: RNAcentral
GUUGUGCUGUUUCACCAAUGUAACAAGUUUAGAGUGUUGUCACUUCUUAACAUUUUUAACCUGCCACCUUAUGUAUGUUACUAUCGCAAGUCAGGAGACUAUAAUUCAGCGGCUGUAUUUUUUGUUGGUGUCUAUCAUGUUUUUUUUUCUUUUAUUGCAUUGUACAUAAAUUAGGCGGUUUCUUUUCUUGUUUAAAAUAUUUCACAUUUUGUCCUGUCAGAUGCUUUUUAAGCUUACUGUAUGGUAUUAAAUUUUUCUCAUUGUUGAGGGUCAUACAGUGACCAAUAGUUCCCCAUAUGAUUUCUGAAUUAUUUGGUCUCUGGUGGAUAGUUGACAACCAGAGACCAAACAACUUGUGUACACUAGCAAUCAUACCACAUCUUUAUUCUGAUAUUUAUCUAUAAAG